CCUACGGGAGGCUGCAGUGGGGAAUAUUGCACAAUGGGCGAAACCCUGAUGCAGCGACGCCGCGUGAGUGAAGAAGGCAUUCGUUACGUAAAGCUCUAUCAGCAGGGAGGAAACACUGACCUUACAUUCAGCUGACGGUACCUGAGUCAGAAGCACCAGCUAACUACGUGCCAGCAGCCGCGGUAAUACGUAGGAUGCAAGCGUUAAGCGGAUUUAGUGGGUUUAAAGGGUGCGUAGGCGGUCGGAUAAGUUAGAGGUGAAAUCCCGAGGCUCAACCUCGGAAUUGCCUCUGAUACUGGUCGGCUAGAGAGUAGUUGAGGUAGGUGGAAUGCAAGGUGUAGCGGUGAAAUGCUUAGAGAUCAGAAAGAACACCGAUUGCGAAGGCAGCCCACUAAGCUACUUCUGACGUUGAGGCACGAAAGCGUGGGGAGCAAACAGGAUUAGAUACCCGGGUAGUC
Molecule: ribosomal RNA, 458 nt
Filed under: uncultured bacterium
Lineage: Bacteria
Description: partial 16S ribosomal RNA
Rfam family: Bacterial small subunit ribosomal RNA
Source: RNAcentral